RNAcentral lists this unclassified non-coding RNA (2351 nucleotides) under Hevea brasiliensis (rubber tree). The record is from RNAcentral. Lineage: Eukaryota; Viridiplantae; Streptophyta; Magnoliopsida; Malpighiales; Euphorbiaceae.
UAAUAAUAAUAAUAAUAAUAACGAUAAUAAUAAACAUUGAAAUCCAUAAUACAUUGACCAGAAUAUAGAAAAAGAACAAUAAACAUUGAAAUUCAUAAUACAACGACCAGAAUAUGAAAAAGGAAGACGAGAACAGAGCACACACAUAUAACGGUGAAAUCGAUGAAUUUUUCUAGAUUAAUGUACGGAAUAUGCUCAAACCCAAGAGAUAUAGGUGAAAUCUGAGUCUAAUAAUUAUAGCCAUUCAAAACCUUGGCCUCUCCUUUCUUAUUUGCAAGCUCCAAGUGCUCUAGCUACAAAAUCAUUAAUAUGCUUAUCAGAGCUCCCUCCUUCACCGACUGUUUUUCCAGCCACCUGCCUCCAUUUUCUUGCAUUCUUCUUGAUCUCAUAGCUUUUCUUUCCUUCCAUUACUUCCUUCAAACAUCUAACCACUUCUUGUUUCCUCACAACUCCUUUCUCAUCCUCCUUAGCUCUAAUCCCCACUUUCCAAACAUCUUCCACAAACUUGGCAUUGGGCACUUGGUCUGUCCAUUGUGGUAUGCACACCAUUGGUACGCCAAGGCUCAGAGCUUCAAGGGUCGAAUUCCACCCACAAUGCGUCACGAAGCAGCCUAUGGUUUUGUGUGCCAGCAUUUCAAGCUGGUUGCACCAUGUCACUAUUAGACCCUUGUCAUUUAUUGAGUCAAUGAACCCAGUUGGCAGUUUAUGCAUUUCUGAUUCUCUCACAACCAAUAAGAAGUUUAAAUUGCUUUCUUUCAACCCCCACGCAAGUUCUUCCAUCUGUUUUACCGUUAAGGAAACCAUGCUUCCAAAAGAUACGUACACCACUGAUUGAGUUGCCUUUGUUUCUAGCCAUCUCAGACACUCUUCCCCAAGUGGAUUCCAUAGACUUGCUCCAUAUCCUUUAUCUCCUUCAAUCCGCCCAUCCAAGUAGGAAGAUGGCACCAUCGGACCGAUCAACUUCGCCGGCCAAAGCUUUGAUAUGCCUCCUGCCUCCUGUUUGAACAUACAAUUAGAUUUGUCAGCACUAACUGAAGAUGAUCAAUCACUGUGCCAGCUUAUUAAAGUUAAAUAAUGGCGAUAUUUAACACACACACGCACAUACACACACAUAUAAACCUUGCUUUCUAACUCUUCGAAGGUGUUUGCAAAAAUCCAGUCAGCCAUGUCCAAGUUAGAAAACUGACUCAAUUUCAUAGCCAAAUAAGCUGGGUAGCUCUCAGGCAACCUGAGAAAAGUUGGUAAGUCGGAGUAGUAUAAUGGAGGCAGGUCAGGUAAUUCCAAAGGUUUAUUAUCCUCCAACUCCAGGGGAAGGGUAAGUAGGCCAUGAUGUAUUCGACAGAAAAUGCUACACACUGCGGCUGAAUUAGUAAAAAAUGGAGCCCCAUAGAUGCCAUGUUGGAUGGCAACAUCAAGAGCCCAUGGCAGAAAAGAAUCAUAAACAAUACAAUUGACAGGAACACUAGAGUUGUGGAAUUUUUGGAUGAGCUGGGAAAGAGUUCUUGAGCCGUUGGCCUUGAAGGACUUGAGGUACAAGUCCACGUUCCUGGCCUGAGCAAAACCAGCUUCAUCAAAGCCAUCGGAAAUGGGUUCAACAGUGACAUUUGGAGCGCAUAUGGACUUGACGGUGUAAUGGGUAGUGGCCAAUGUAGCCUUGAGACCUCUGGAGGCUAAACGCUUAGCGAAUUGGAGAAGAGGGUUAAUGUGGCCUUGGCUUGGAUAUGGAAGCACCACAACGUGCCCUUUGAACUGUGUCUCCCUCAUAUUUCUUUCGAUGGCUUUCUCUGGUCACCGAUAUAUCCCUAUUUAUAGGCCAGAGGAAUACAAUUUGCCAUCAAAUCCAGAAUAAACAUAUGGAGAGGAAAAUUAAAUUUAAAUGAUAAAUCACAUUAUAAUUUUAAAAUUAAAUAAUACUUUAUUUAAUUAAUAUAAUAUUGCUGAAAAAUGGACCUUUUGUCUCUCUAAAUGUUGUACAAGUGUCUUCCAAACAAAAUCUGAAAUGAAGAAGGCGAGUAAGGGAGGGAACCAACUAGAUUAUAUAAGAUGAUUAAAAAUUGGGUGGAUUCACACCAUAACAUAGUUUGCAGCUACUACCUCCUAGUGUCGACUGCCGACAGGUUUAUUGCAACCAGGAUGGAUUCUUACUCCUCCUGAUAAGUUAGUUUAUGCUUUACUUAAAGAUAGAUUGUAUAGAAAUCCUUCUCAUGAAUGAAUAAAUCCUUCUCAUGAAUGAAAUCUCUUCUUCUUCUCAUGAAUGCUUUACUGGGCUGCAAGCGUCACUGCUGAUUCCAUCUCAAUGACGACUUGUCCAUGACAUGUCCGGUCAAUAAUAAUAAGUAUUUUUCUUGGCA